ACAUGCAAGUCGAGCGAACAGAUAAGGAGCUUGCUCCUUUGACGUUAGCGGCGGACGGGUGAGUAACACGUGGGUAACCUACCUAUAAGACUGGGAUAACUUCGGGAAACCGGAGCUAAUACCGGAUAACAUUUGGAACCGCAUGGUUCUAAAGUGAAAGAUGGUUUUGCUAUCACUUAUAGAUGGACCCGCGCCGUAUUAGCUAGUUGGUAAGGUAACGGCUUACCAAGGCAACGAUACGUAGCCGACCUGAGAGGGUGAUCGGCCACACUGGAACUGAGACACGGUCCAGACUCCUACGGGAGGCAGCAGUAGGGAAUCUUCCGCAAUGGGCGAAAGCCUGACGGAGCAACGCCGCGUGAGUGAUGAAGGGUUUCGGCUCGUAAAACUCUGUUAUUAGGGAAGAACAAACGUGUAAGUAACUGUGCACGUCUUGACGGUACCUAAUCAGAAAGCCACGGCUAACUACGUGCCAGCAGCCGCGGUAAUACGUAGGUGGCAAGCGUUAUCCGGAAUUAUUGGGCGUAAAGCGCGCGUAGGCGGUUUCUUAAGUCUGAUGUGAAAGCCCACGGCUCAACCGUGGAGGGUCAUUGGAAACUGGGAAACUUGAGUGCAGAAGAGGAAAGUGGAAUUCCAUGUGUAGCGGUGAAAUGCGCAGAGAUAUGGAGGAACACCAGUGGCGAAGGCGACUUUCUGGUCUGUAACUGACGCUGAUGUGCGAAAGCGUGGGGAUCAAACAGGAUUAGAUACCCUGGUAGUCCACGCCGUAAACGAUGAGUGCUAAGUGUUAGGGGGUUUCCGCCCCUUAGUGCUGCAGCUAACGCAUUAAGCACUCCGCCUGGGGAGUACGACCGCAAGGUUGAAACUCAAAGGAAUUGACGGGGACCCGCACAAGCGGUGGAGCAUGUGGUUUAAUUCGAAGCAACGCGAAGAACCUUACCAAAUCUUGACAUCCUUUGAAAACUCUAGAGAUAGAGCCUUCCCCUUCGGGGGACAAAGUGACAGGUGGUGCAUGGUUGUCGUCAGCUCGUGUCGUGAGAUGUUGGGUUAAGUCCCGCAACGAGCGCAACCCUUAAGCUUAGUUGCCAUCAUUAAGUUGGGCACUCUAGGUUGACUGCCGGUGACAAACCGGAGGAAGGUGGGGAUGACGUCAAAUCAUCAUGCCCCUUAUGAUUUGGGCUACACACGUGCUACAAUGGACAAUACAAAGGGCAGCUAAACCGCGAGGUCAUGCAAAUCCCAUAAAGUUGUUCUCAGUUCGGAUUGUAGUCUGCAACUCGACUACAUGAAGCUGGAAUCGCUAGUAAUCGUAGAUCAGCAUGCUACGGUGAAUACGUUCCCGGGUCUUGUACACACCGCCCGUCACACCACGAGAGUUUGUAACACCCGAAGCCGGUGGAGUAACCAUUUAUGGAGCUAGCCGUCGA
Molecule: ribosomal RNA, 1427 nt
Filed under: Staphylococcus saprophyticus
Lineage: Bacteria; Bacillati; Bacillota; Bacilli; Caryophanales; Staphylococcaceae
Description: bacterial SSU rRNA
Rfam family: Bacterial small subunit ribosomal RNA
Source: RNAcentral